RNAcentral lists this ribosomal RNA (1372 nucleotides) under uncultured bacterium. Its description in RNAcentral is "bacterial SSU rRNA". It matches the Rfam family "Bacterial small subunit ribosomal RNA", at positions 28 to 1381 of the family's 1533-position model. The record is from RNAcentral.
GAUGAACGCUGGCGGCGUGCCUAAUACAUGCAAGUCGAGCGAACGGACGAGAAGCUUGCUUCUCUGAUGUUAGCGGCGGACGGGUGAGUAACACGUGGAUAACCUACCUAUAAGACUGGGAUAACUUCGGGAAACCGGAGCUAAUACCGGAUAAUAUUUUGAACCGCAUGGUUCAAAAGUGAAAGACGGUCUUGCUGUCACUUAUAGAUGGAUCCGCGCUGCAUUAGCUAGUUGGUAAGGUAACGGCUUACCAAGGCAACGAUGCAUAGCCGACCUGAGAGGGUGAUCGGCCACACUGGAACUGAGACACGGUCCAGACUCCUACGGGAGGCAGCAGUAGGGAAUCUUCCGCAAUGGGCGAAAGCCUGACGGAGCAACGCCGCGUGAGUGAUGAAGGUCUUCGGAUCGUAAAACUCUGUUAUUAGGGAAGAACAUAUGUGUAAGUAACUGUGCACAUCUUGACGGUACCUAAUCAGAAAGCCACGGCUAACUACGUGCCAGCAGCCGCGGUAAUACGUAGGUGGCAAGCGUUAUCCGGAAUUAUUGGGCGUAAAGCGCGCGUAGGCGGUUUUUUAAGUCUGAUGUGAAAGCCCACGGCUCAACCGUGGAGGGUCAUUGGAAACUGGAAAACUUGAGUGCAGAAGAGGAAAGUGGAAUUCCAUGUGUAGCGGUGAAAUGCGCAGAGAUAUGGAGGAACACCAGUGGCGAAGGCGACUUUCUGGUCUGUAACUGACGCUGAUGUGCGAAAGCGUGGGGAUCAAACAGGAUUAGAUACCCUGGUAGUCCACGCCGUAAACGAGGAGUGCUAAGUGUUAGGGGGUUUCCGCCCCUUAGUGCUGCAGCUAACGCAUUAAGCACUCCGCCUGGGGAGUACGACCGCAAGGUUGAAACUCAAAGGAAUUGACGGGGACCCGCACAAGCGGUGGAGCAUGUGGUUUAAUUCGAAGCAACGCGAAGAACCUUACCAAAUCUUGACAUCCUUUGACAACUCUAGAGAUAGAGCCUUCCCCUUCGGGGGACAAAGUGACAGGUGGUGCAUGGUUGUCGUCAGCUCGUGUCGUGAGAUGUUGGGUUAAGUCCCGCAACGAGCGCAACCCUUAAGCUUAGUUGCCAUCAUUAAGUUGGGCACUCUAAGUUGACUGCCGGUGACAAACCGGAGGAAGGUGGGGAUGACGUCAAAUCAUCAUGCCCCUUAUGAUUUGGGCUACACACGUGCUACAAUGGACAAUACAAAGGGCAGCGAAACCGCGAGGUCAAGCAAAUCCCAUAAAGUUGUUCUCAGUUCGGAUUGUAGUCUGCAACUCGACUACAUGAAGCUGGAAUCGCUAGUAAUCGUAGAUCAGCAUGCUACGGUGAAUACGUUCCCGGGUCU